UCACCGGCAGCUGUUCUCCCCAUCCGUGUGCAGGGACGUCUCGGCCCGUCGAAGACCCAGGCGGGCAAAGGAGUGGUACAAGAUGAGAAAACUGAGCUCAGAGAGGCAAAGCGAUAUGUACAGACUCACACCAUUGUAAGAUUUGAAGCCCAAAUGCAUGACUCCAAAAUCCAAGCCCUUUCUACUGUAUCACUCCAGGACUGAGGCAACUGAGUAAACUGGGAAGCCCCCUGAUCGUGUGGGGAGGGCUGGAGGAAGAAGCCACCAUGCUGGCUUGGAGGGAGCAGAGCAGGAAGGGGUGCCCAUCUUGGGGCCAAGCACUCUCAGGGCUCAUGCCAGGUUUGGGCACCAUGUGAUAAGAUGACCUGCAGGUCUGGCCUUGGAUUUCUGCAGAGGUUUGUUGGGAAGGCAUCACUUAGGAGGCUGGCAGACCAUGAGAAAG
RNAcentral lists this long non-coding RNA (442 nucleotides) under Homo sapiens (human). Its description in RNAcentral is "HSALNT0384766". Lineage: Eukaryota; Metazoa; Chordata; Mammalia; Primates; Hominidae. The record is from RNAcentral.